ACUAAGCGUACACGGUGGAUGCCCUGGCAGUCAGAGGCGAUGAAGGGCGUGCUAAUCUGCGAUAAGCGCCGGUAAGGUGAUAUGAACCGUUAUAACCGGCGAUACCCGAAUGGGGAAACCCAGUGUGAUUCGUCACACUAUCAUUAACUGAAUCCAUAGGUUAAUGAGGCGAACCGGGGGAACUGAAACAUCUAAGUACCCCGAGGAAAAGAAAUCAACCGAGAUUCCCCCAGUAGCGGCGAGCGAACGGGGAGGAGCCCAGAGCCUGAAUCAGCAUGUGUGUUAGUGGAAGCGUCUGGAAAGGCGCGCGAUACAGGGUGACAGCCCCGUACACAAAAGCGCAUGUGCUGUGAGCUCGAUGAGUAGGGCGGGACACGUGGUAUCCUGUCUGAAUAUGGGGGGACCAUCCUCCAAGGCUAAAUACUCCUGACUGACCGAUAGUGAACCAGUACCGUGAGGGAAAGGCGAAAAGAACCCCGGCGAGGGGAGUGAAAAAGAACCUGAAACCGUGUACGUACAAGCAGUGGGAGCCCCACCACCAAAGCGUUUCGCUUUGUGUGGUGCACAAAGAAGCGUAACGACAGCACUGAAUGACGGUUAACGGAGCGCAAGCGACGUUCAACAUACAAAGUCAAGCAGUGGAGCGCUUUGGGGUGGGGUGACUGCGUACCUUUUGUAUAAUGGGUCAGCGACUUAUAUUCUGUAGCAAGGUUAACCGAAUAGGGGAGCCGGAGGGAAACCGAGUCUUAAUUGGGCGUUAAGUUGCAGGGUAUAGACCCGAAACCCGGUGAUCUAGCCAUGGGCAGGUUGAAGGUUGGGUAACACUAACUGGAGGACCGAACCGACUAAUGUUGAAAAAUUAGCGGAUGACCUGUGGCUGGGGGUGAAAGGCCAAUCAAACCGGGAGAUAGCUGGUUCUCCCCGAAAGCUAUUUAGGUAGCGCCUCGUGAAUUCAUCUCCGGGGGUAGAGCACUGUUUCGGCUAGGGGGCCAUCCCGGCUUACCAACCCGAUGCAAACUGCGAAUACCGGAGAAUGUUAUCACGGGAGACACACGGCGGGUGCUAACGUCCGUCGUGAAGAGGGAAACAACCCAGACCGCCAGCUAAGGUCCCAAAGUCAUGGUUAAGUGGGAAACGAUGUGGGAAGGCCCAGACAGCCAGGAUGUUGGCUUAGAAGCAGCCAUCAUUUAAAGAAAGCGUAAUAGCUCACUGGUCGAGUCGGCCUGCGCGGAAGAUGUAACGGGGCUAAACCAUGCACCGAAGCUGCGGCAGCGACGCUUAUGCGUUGUUGGGUAGGGGAGCGUUCUGUAAGCCUGUGAAGGUGGCCUGUGAGGGUUGCUGGAGGUAUCAGAAGUGCGAAUGCUGACAUAAGUAACGAUAAAGCGGGUGAAAAGCCCGCUCGCCGGAAGACCAAGGGUUCCUGUCCAACGUUAAUCGGGGCAGGGUGAGUCGACCCCUAAGGCGAGGCCGAAAGGCGUAGUCGAUGGGAAACGGGUUAAUAUUCCCGUACUUGGUGUUACUGCGAAGGGGGGACGGAGAAGGCUAUGUUGGCCGGGCGACGGUUGUCCCGGUUUAAGCGUGUAGGUGUGUGUUCCAGGUAAAUCCGGUUCACUUUAACACUGAGGCGUGAUGACGAGGCACUACGGUGCUGAAGCAACAAAUGCCCUGCUUCCAGGAAAAGCCUCUAAGCAUCAGGUAACAUCAAAUCGUACCCCAAACCGACACAGGUGGUCAGGUAGAGAAUACCAAGGCGCUUGAGAGAACUCGGGUGAAGGAACUAGGCAAAAUGGUGCCGUAACUUCGGGAGAAGGCACGCUGACACGUAGGUGAAGUGAUUUACUCAUGGAGCUGAAGUCAGUCGAAGAUACCAGCUGGCUGCAACUGUUUAUUAAAAACACAGCACUGUGCAAACACGAAAGUGGACGUAUACGGUGUGACGCCUGCCCGGUGCCGGAAGGUUAAUUGAUGGGGUCAGCGCAAGCGAAGCUCCUGAUCGAAGCCCCGGUAAACGGCGGCCGUAACUAUAACGGUCCUAAGGUAGCGAAAUUCCUUGUCGGGUAAGUUCCGACCUGCACGAAUGGCGUAAUGAUGGCCAGGCUGUCUCCACCCGAGACUCAGUGAAAUUGAACUCGCUGUGAAGAUGCAGUGUACCCGCGGCAAGACGGAAAGACCCCGUGAACCUUUACUAUAGCUUGACACUGAACAUUGAGCCUUGAUGUGUAGGAUAGGUGGGAGGCUUUGAAGCGUGGACGCCAGUCUGCGUGGAGCCGACCUUGAAAUACCACCCUUUAAUGUUUGAUGUUCUAACGUGGACCCGUAAUCCGGGUUGCGGACAGUGUCUGGUGGGUAGUUUGACUGGGGCGGUCUCCUCCUAAAGAGUAACGGAGGAGCACGAAGGUUGGCUAAUCCUGGUCGGACAUCAGGAGGUUAGUGCAAUGGCAUAAGCCAGCUUGACUGCGAGCGUGACGGCGCGAGCAGGUGCGAAAGCAGGUCAUAGUGAUCCGGUGGUUCUGAAUGGAAGGGCCAUCGCUCAACGGAUAAAAGGUACUCCGGGGAUAACAGGCUGAUACCGCCCAAGAGUUCAUAUCGACGGCGGUGUUUGGCACCUCGAUGUCGGCUCAUCACAUCCUGGGGCUGAAGUAGGUCCCAAGGGUAUGGCUGUUCGCCAUUUAAAGUGGUACGCGAGCUGGGUUUAGAACGUCGUGAGACAGUUCGGUCCCUAUCUGCCGUGGGCGCUGGAGAACUGAGGGGGGCUGCUCCUAGUACGAGAGGACCGGAGUGGACGCAUCACUGGUGUUCGGGUUGUCAUGCCAAUGGCACUGCCCGGUAGCUAAAUGCGGAAGAGAUAAGUGCUGAAAGCAUCUAAGNGUCUCCUGAAGGAACGUUGAAGACGACGACGUUGAUAGGCCGGGUGUGUAAGCGCAGCGAUGCGUUGAGCUAACCGGUACUAAUGAACCGUGAGGCUUAACC
RNAcentral lists this ribosomal RNA (2970 nucleotides) under Salmonella enterica subsp. enterica serovar Weltevreden. RNAcentral describes it as "bacterial LSU rRNA". It matches the Rfam family "Bacterial large subunit ribosomal RNA". The record is from RNAcentral. Lineage: Bacteria; Pseudomonadati; Pseudomonadota; Gammaproteobacteria; Enterobacterales; Enterobacteriaceae.